CCUAGGGGAGGCUGCAGUGGGGAAUAUUGGACAAUGGGCGAAAGCCUGAUCCAGCCAUGCCGCGUGUGUGAAGAAGGCCUUCGGGUUGUAAAGCACUUUCAGUGGGGAAGAAAGCCUUGGGGCUAAUACCCUCGAGGAAGGACAUCACCCACAGAAGAAGCACCGGCUAACUCCGUGCCAGCAGCCGCGGUAAUACGGAGGGUGCGAGCGUUAAUCGGAAUUACUGGGCGUAAAGCGCGCGUAGGCGGUCUGAUAAGCCGGUUGUGAAAGCCCCGGGCUCAACCUGGGAACGGCAUCCGGAACUGUCAGGCUAGAGUGCAGGAGAGGAAGGUAGAAUUCCCGGUGUAGCGGUGAAAUGCGUAGAGAUCGGGAGGAAUACCAGUGGCGAAGGCGGCCUUCUGGACUGACACUGACGCUGAGGUGCGAAAGCGUGGGUAGCAAACAGGAUUAGAUACCCUAGUAGUC
This 465-nucleotide ribosomal RNA is filed under the name Vreelandella stevensii. Its description in RNAcentral is "partial 16S ribosomal RNA". It matches the Rfam family "Bacterial small subunit ribosomal RNA", at positions 338 to 795 of the family's 1533-position model. Lineage: Bacteria; Pseudomonadati; Pseudomonadota; Gammaproteobacteria; Oceanospirillales; Halomonadaceae. The record is from RNAcentral.